CAAGCUACUAAGGGCGCACGGUGGAUGCCUAGGAGCAAGGAGCCGAUGAAGGGCGUGGUCAGCUGCGAUAAGCUGCGAGGAGCCGCAAACAGGCGUUGAUCCGCAGAUGCCCGAAUGGGAGAACCCGGCCACCGCAUGGGUGGUCACCUACCGCUGAAUCCAUAGGCGGUAGGGGGGAACCUGGGGAACUGAAACAUCUCAGUACCCAGAGGAAAAGAAAUCGAACGAGAUUCCCUCAGUAGCGGCGAGCGAACGGGGAAGAGCCUAAACCUAUUGGGCAUGCCCAAUAGGGGUCGUGGGACUGACACAAGGGAGCAGCGCGUGUAGCCGAAUCGCAUGGAACGGCGAGCCAUAGAGGGUGAUAGCCCCGUACGCGAAAUACGCAACGCCCCGUCAGCUUCCCGAGUAGCACGGGAUAAGAGGAGCCCUGUGCGAAUCCGCCCGGACCACCGGGUAAGGCUAAAUACUCCUUGCUACCGAUAGCGCAACCAGUACCGUGAGGGAAAGGUGAAAAGCACCCCGGCGAGGGGAGUGAAAAGAACCUGAAACCGUGCGCUUACAAACAGUCGGAGGACUAUACCCCUCGGGGGGACAGUCUGACGGCGUGCCUUUUGCAGAAUGAGCCGGCGAGUUGUGCUCAGCGGCAAGGUUAAGCGUCUCAGACGCGGAGCCGUAGCGAAAGCGAGUCCACACAGGGCGACCCAGUCGCUGGGUGCAGACCCGAAACCGCGUGAUCUAACCCUGGUCAGGCUGAAGCCGUGGUAACACACGGUGGAGGGCCGAACUGGUGACCGUUGAAAAGGUCUCGGAGGAACUGGGGUUAGUGUGGUGAAAUGCCAAUCGAACGCGGAAAUAGCUGGUUCUCCCCGAAAUGCAUUGAGGUGCAGCCUCACGCGCUAUGCUAUGCAGGUAGAGCCACUGGAUGGGCUAGGGGCCCCACCAGGUUACUGAACCCAACCAAACUCCGAAUGGCAUAGCAGGAAGCGUGGGAGUGAGACAGCGACGGAUGAGCGCCGUUGUCAAAAGGGCAAUAGCCCAGACCGCCCGCUAAGGUCCCUAAACACAGGCUAAGUGUUAAAGGAUGUAGGGUCGCGUAAACAACCAGGAGGUUGGCUUAGAAGCAGCCAUCCUUUAAACAGUGCGUAACAGCUGACUGGUCGAAUGUGACCCUGCGCCGAUAAUGUAAGGGGGCUCAAGCCUGUUACCGAAGCGGCGGGUUCCCGUAUGGGAGCGGUAGGGGAGCGUUCUGCUCGCAGUGAAGGCGGAGCGGAAGCACCGCUGGAGCGUGCAGAAGUGAGAAUGCCGGCACGAGUAGCGAGAAGACGGGUGAGAAUCCCGUCCGCCGAAAGCCUAAGGGUUCUUCAGGCAGGUUCGUCCGCUGAAGGUCAGGCGGUCCUAAGUCGAGGGCGAAAAGCCGUAGGCGAAGGGCAGUGGGUCAACAUUCCCACCCCAGGUGGCGGAGCAAAGCGGUGACGCUUCAGAAUCGGUCGGGCGCGGAGUUGGAAGGCCGCGCUCGCCCCGGCGGCAACUCCGGGGCGACGAAGGGAUCCCUCGGGUGAACGAAGCGACUGUGACUGGAGCCGAGAAAACCCGUGUAGCGUUGAAACCACCUGACCGUACCGCAAACCGACACAGGUAGGCGAGGCGAGAAGCCUCAGGCGCGCGAGAGAAGUCCCGCUAAGGAACUCGGCAAAUUGACCCCGUAACUUCGGGAGAAGGGGUGCCUCGAAAGAGGUCGCAGCAAAGCGGGCCCGGCGACUGUUUACCAAAAACACAGCUCUCUGCUAAGGGGAAACCCGAUGUAUAGGGGGCGACGCUUGGCCAAUGCCCGUAGGUUAAGGGGAGGGGUCAGCCGCAAGGUGCAGCCCUAAACUGAAGCCCGGGUGAAUGCCGGCCGUAACUCUAACGGUCCUAUGGUACUUUCGCUGCCCCCCCAGUGGGUAACCACUGGGUGAGCAUCCGGCUAUAUGCUGGAAACCCCGAGAAUCCAGCGGUACUUGCAGGAAAUCACAAGCCCAACCCAAACUUGUGACCUGUGAGUGACAAUCCGACUGGUGCGGACAACCAGCAGGAAAGACUAAUCCUUCUCGGUUGGGUUGUUGGGUUUGUAGACGGCGAGGGAUGCUUUUCUAUCAGCUUCAUCCAUCAACCUAAUAGAAGCUCCCGCAAAGGCUACAAAACCCAAAUACAGGUGUUCCAUGAGUUCGCCGUCACGCAGGGCGAGCGCAACCUCCGCGCUCUGCAAACCCUGCAAUCCUUCUGGGGCGUCGGACAUGUAAUUGUUAACCGACGCCACGAUAAUCAUACGGAACCCCUACACCGCUAUGUCGUGCGCAAACGCAGUGAGCUUUUAGAAGUCAUCAUCCCGUUCUUCCAUCAGCAUCCUCUACGCACCGCGAAACAGGACGACUUCGAAAAGUUCGCUCGCUGUGUGACCUGGAUGGCUGCAGGCUAUCAUCGAACCUCCGAAGGACUGCAAGCCAUCGCCGAGGUCGCCGCGACGAUGAAUCGGCGGAAAGACCGAGCCGAAAGGAUUAGAAUCCUCAGAGACCAUACGCCGGAUACCUCAACGAUGAGGUGAAGAGAUGGUCCCAUCUGCAUGGCGACAUGCAGGAGCUGUACCCCUACGACAAGGGGGUGGUACGGCUCGCUCGAGAGUUUCUCGAGUAAGACAAUAAGCGAAAUUCCUUGUCGCGUAAAUUGCGACCCGCACGAAAAGCGUAACGACUGGGCCACUGUCUCAGCGGGACACUCGGUGAAACUGUAGCACCCGUGAAGAUGCGGGUUACCUGCGGUAGGACGGAAAGACCCUAUGGAGCUUUACUACAGCUUGAGAUUGCAUUUCGGUAUGUCAUGUAGAGCGUAGGUGGGAGCUUCGGCGCCAAUGGAACACCACCCUUGACCUACUGGAAUGCUAACCUGCGCCGUAAUCCGGCGUGGAGACAGUCUUAGGCGGGUAGUUUGACUGGGGCGGUCGCCUCAACA
Molecule: ribosomal RNA, 2985 nt
Filed under: Fimbriimonadales bacterium
Lineage: Bacteria; Bacillati; Armatimonadota; Fimbriimonadia; Fimbriimonadales
Description: 23S ribosomal RNA
Rfam family: Bacterial large subunit ribosomal RNA
Source: RNAcentral